GGGGGAUAUUUUAAAAUGGAAAAAUACCGGUCAGCACAAACCGGAGAUGUAGGUUCGAGCCCUGCUCCUCCA
This 72-nucleotide transfer RNA is filed under the name Chitinophaga qingshengii. RNAcentral's name for it is "tRNA-Cys". Lineage: Bacteria; Pseudomonadati; Bacteroidota; Chitinophagia; Chitinophagales; Chitinophagaceae. The record is from RNAcentral.